Molecule: ribosomal RNA, 440 nt
Filed under: uncultured bacterium
Lineage: Bacteria
Description: partial 16S ribosomal RNA
Rfam family: Bacterial small subunit ribosomal RNA
Source: RNAcentral
CCUACGGGUGGCAGCAGUGGGGAAUAUUGCACAAUGGGGGGAACCCUGAUGCAGCGACGCCGCGUGGGUGAAGGAGUACUUCGGUACGUAAAGCCCUAUCAGCAGGAAAGAAAAUGACGGUACCUGACUAAGAAGCCCCGGCUAACUACGUGCCAGCAGCCGCGGUAAUACGUAGGGGGCAAGCGUUAUCCGGAUUUACUGGGUGUAAAGGGAGCGUAGACGGCAGUGCAAGUCCGGAGUGAAAGCCCGGGGCUCAACCCCGGGACUGCAUUGGAAACUGGCAUGCUGGAGUGCCGGAGGGGCAAGCGGAAUUCCUAGUGUAGCGGUGAAAUGCGUAGAUAUUAGGAGGAACACCGGUGGCGAAGGCGGCUUGCUGGACGGUAACUGACGUUGAGGCUCGAAAGCGUGGGGAGCAAACAGGAUUAGAUACCCUAGUAGUC